RNAcentral lists this transfer RNA (90 nucleotides) under Acidobacteriota bacterium. RNAcentral describes it as "Acidobacteria bacterium tRNA-Ser". It matches the Rfam family "tRNA". Rfam says of the family: Transfer RNA (tRNA) molecules are approximately 80 nucleotides in length. Their secondary structure includes four short double-helical elements and three loops (D, anti-codon, and T loops). The record is from RNAcentral. RNAcentral also lists the same sequence under 1 other name. Lineage: Bacteria; Pseudomonadati; Acidobacteriota.
GGAGAGAUGGCCGAGUGGCUGAAGGCGCACGCUUGGAAAGCGUGUAUACGAGAAACCGUAUCGUGGGUUCGAAUCCCACUCUCUCCGCCA